GGUUAGGUCCUGCGCAAGAGAGCGUCGCGAACCCCGUCAGGUCCGGAAGGAAGCAGCGGUACCGACUGUCUCUCUGUGCCGCAGGGUGCCCUAGCCGCC
Molecule: signal recognition particle RNA, 99 nt
Filed under: Deltaproteobacteria bacterium
Lineage: Bacteria; Pseudomonadati; Myxococcota; Myxococcia
Description: signal recognition particle sRNA small type
Rfam family: Bacterial small signal recognition particle RNA
About the family: The signal recognition particle (SRP) is a universally conserved ribonucleoprotein involved in the co-translational targeting of proteins to membranes. Archaeal SRP consists of a 7S RNA and homologues of the eukaryotic SRP19 and SRP54 proteins.
Source: RNAcentral